Molecule: unclassified non-coding RNA, 206 nt
Filed under: soil metagenome
Description: partial contains 5.8S ribosomal RNA, internal transcribed spacer 2, and large subunit ribosomal RNA
Source: RNAcentral
AACAAGGCGUACCUGCGGACCUGCGGAAGGAUCAUUCAUAAUAAAAGUGAAAUAAUUUAUGGCACUUUUAAAACAAUCCAUAUCCACCUUGUGUGCAAUGUUUUUUUUUAAUAUUUAUAUCAACUCUUUUAAAUACAAAAUUAUCUGAAAUUAUUUUAUGAAUUUUAUUUACUUAAUUCAAAAAUAUAACUUUCAGCAAUGGAUCU